Molecule: long non-coding RNA, 691 nt
Filed under: Nicotiana benthamiana
Lineage: Eukaryota; Viridiplantae; Streptophyta; Magnoliopsida; Solanales; Solanaceae
Description: long non-coding RNA (NBEN_LNC011255)
Source: RNAcentral
AUUCCCCCUCCCCCUCCCCCAAACAAGCAUUUCUCUAAUUUUCAGAUCCAAACCUAAAAUUCAAAUAUUCAAAAAUCCAAAAACAAAAAACAAUCAUAAAAAUUCAUCGUUUCAUUACCUUUUCAGCUCAUUUUCAAUUCCUAUUUAAAUUUCUCUAUUUCUGCUCUAAUUUCGAGUUUUUAAAAGCAUUUAUAAGCAUUUGGUAACUGGUUCGAGUGGACUUGGGUGUGCUUGAGUUGAUUUUGGUUACGUCUUACCCUAGUGAAGUUUCAGAAGCAUUUAAGUUCAAUUUCGAAGGCAGUCGGGUGCAUUUCGAGUCAUUGUGGUGUUAUUGAAGUUAUAUGGGUCCAAUUCUUGUUUGGUGUUCUAUCAUCUACUAAGUUCAUGGGAGGCUGCUUUUGGAUUGGGAUUAGCUGUGAUUUUCCCUGUCUACUGCUGAUCUACUGAUCUGGCGAUCUACUCUAUUCUCCUUGUGUUACAUUUUUCCAGGUACACAUUUGAGUUGGCUUUGAUGUAUCCUCUUACUGUUGACAACAUGAAAUAGACGCUGAAACCAAUUCUCUGCUUUGGAUAUGUUAUUUCACUAUGAUUAAAUAAAUUUUGUUGUGAUUUUGUGGUCGAACACUGUAGUCACAUUUAGGCUGCGUGACUGAAUUGAACUGGAGUAUGUAAUAAUAGGACUAAAUUGUUA